AAACCCGUCUCUACUAAAAAUACAAAAAAAAUUAGCCGGGCGUGGUGGUGGACACCUGUAGUCCCAGAUACUCAGGAGGCUGAGGAAGGAGAAUGGCGUGAACCUGGGAGGCGGAGCUUGCAGUGAGCCGAGAUUGCGCCUCUGCACUCCAGCCUGGGCGACAGAGCAAGACUCCGUCUCAAAAAGAAAAAAAAAAAAAAACCCAAAGAAACAGUCUUUACAACCUGGUGU
This 231-nucleotide long non-coding RNA is filed under the name Homo sapiens (human). Its description in RNAcentral is "non-protein coding lnc-RANBP3-2:1". Lineage: Eukaryota; Metazoa; Chordata; Mammalia; Primates; Hominidae. The record is from RNAcentral.